GUGCUGGUGGUGUAAAGGCGUAGAGCAUUCCCGCCCGGUCAGAGGGAGGUGCGGGUUCGAGUCCCGCCUAGUGCU
This is a non-coding RNA of Heligmosomoides polygyrus, 75 nucleotides long. The record is from Rfam. NCBI's taxonomy places the organism in Eukaryota, Metazoa, Nematoda, Chromadorea, Rhabditida, Heligmosomidae.